This 816-nucleotide ribosomal RNA is filed under the name Enterobacter sp. DP1. Its description in RNAcentral is "bacterial SSU rRNA". It matches the Rfam family "Bacterial small subunit ribosomal RNA", at positions 49 to 853 of the family's 1533-position model. Lineage: Bacteria; Pseudomonadati; Pseudomonadota; Gammaproteobacteria; Enterobacterales; Enterobacteriaceae. The record is from RNAcentral.
CUACACAUGCAAGUCGAGCGGUUGCACAGGAGAGCUGCGCUCUCGAUUCGACGAGUGACGGAUGAGUGAUGCCUGUGAGUCUAACUGGCUGAGGGAGGUAACUUACUACUGCAAACGCUAAUUCAUACUACAUACUGUCGGAGACCAAAGGGGGGACCUUCGGGCCUCUUGCCAUCGAAUGUGCCCAGAUGGGAUUAGCUAGUGGUGGGGUAACGGCUCAGCUAACCAACCAUCCCUGGCUGGUCUGGAUGGAUGACCACCCUGGAACUGACUGACACACGGUACUCACUCCUACGGGAGGCAUGGUGGGAAAUAUUGAUCAAUGGAAAGCCUGAUUGAUGCAUGCAUGCCGUGUGUAUGAAGAAGGCCUUUUGGUUGUAAAUUACUUUUGCGGGAAGGAAGGUGUUGUGGUUAAUAACUGUUUUGUUGACGUUACCCAAUAAACAAGCACCUAACUAACUCCGUGCCACAGCCUAAUACAUACGGAGGGUGCAAGCGUUAAUAAUUACUGCUGGUAAAUAAACGCCACGGUGGCUCUCUGUCAAGGAUGGAUGAAUCCCCCGGCUCAACCUCCUGACUGCUGCAUAAACUAACUGACCUGCUAGACGUCUUGAGGAGGGUGGAAUAAUUUGUGGUGUAGCGAAGAAAUGCGAUAUAGAUAUGGAGGAAUACUGGUGAAGGCGACCACCUGCCUGUGACAAAGACUGCUGAUCAGGUAAGAAAGCGUGAGCAAACAAAGAUGAUAUACUAUGCUGGUCCACCACGCCAACAAUGAUGACUAUUUGUAGGUUGCGUUCUUGUCUUAUUGCUUCAGCA